GACGAACCGUGCAAACGUUAUUCGGAAUCACUGGGCUUAAAGCGCGCGUAGGCGGCGACGUAAGUUGGAUGUGAAAUCCCAUCGGCUCAACCGUGGAACUGCAUCCAAUACUGCGUUGCUCGAGGGAGAUAGGGGUCCGCGGAACUUCCGGUGGAGCGGUGAAAUGUGUUGAGAUCGGAAGGAACGCCAGUGGCGAAAGCGGCGGACUGGGUCUUUACUGACGCUGAGGCGCGAAAGCUAGGGGAGCGAACGGG
This 254-nucleotide ribosomal RNA is filed under the name uncultured bacterium. Its description in RNAcentral is "partial 16S ribosomal RNA". It matches the Rfam family "Bacterial small subunit ribosomal RNA", at positions 524 to 776 of the family's 1533-position model. The record is from RNAcentral.